CACCGCCGCCGCUGUCAGUUCGGCUGCCGAAGCAGACCCGACUCUCUUGGCAACUACGCACCAUCCUCCCUCAAACAUAGUAGGACGGGGAAGGGACACACUGGGGCACGAUGGCAGCCCUCACCUGGGAUACAACCGAGCGGCUUACCCUUAUGGAUUGCCGCCCAACUAUUCACCACCCGUCUUGCAAGAAGAUGCGGGCCACAUUGCCUCUCCCGUCCAUGAAAGAGUGCCUCCUCAGCAGCCCGACGAAGUCCAUAAAGACCCUCAAGAUUAUGCUCGAAGGGAUGUCGAGUUCUAUCCCCUGAUCCCCGAAGGGCCGGCACCAGGCACGUUGCCUCAACCCAACAUCACA
RNAcentral lists this unclassified non-coding RNA (355 nucleotides) under uncultured Ascomycota. RNAcentral describes it as "sequence contains ITS1". Lineage: Eukaryota; Fungi; Ascomycota. The record is from RNAcentral.